UUUUUUUUUAGAAGAAAAAAAUUGUAAUAUUGCUGUCACUUGAAACAAUCAAAUUUCGUUCUACAUAUAUCUUUACAAUGGAGGUGUAGCUCCAAAAUUUGAAGCCUUGGGAUCAGGUAGAGCAUACCAGUCAGUGGAAGUAUCGCAGGAGCGCUUACGUGAUCCUCUCUGGCCAAUCUACAAAAUUUACAACAAUUCCACUGGUCUAGAGUCCGAACUAGGCCUUGCCUCAUUGUGGCUAGAACUAGACC
This 251-nucleotide unclassified non-coding RNA is filed under the name Hevea brasiliensis (rubber tree). The record is from RNAcentral. Lineage: Eukaryota; Viridiplantae; Streptophyta; Magnoliopsida; Malpighiales; Euphorbiaceae.